UUGCUUCAGCAGCACAUAUACUAGAAAUUAGAAUGAUACAGAGAAGAUUAGCAUGGGCCCUGCACAAGGGUGACAUACAAAUUUGUGAAGUGUUCCAUAUUUUU
Small nuclear RNA from Nycticebus coucang (slow loris), 104 nucleotides. The record is from RefSeq and is a predicted model, not a curated record. NCBI's taxonomy places the organism in Eukaryota, Metazoa, Chordata, Mammalia, Primates, Lorisidae.